CCUACGGGUGGCAGCAGUGAGGAAUAUUGGUCAAUGGGCGGAAGCCUGAACCAGCCAAGUAGCGUGCAGGAUGACGGCCCUACGGGUUGUAAACUGCUUUUAUACGGGAAUAACCCGCCUUACGUGUAGGGCUUUGCAUGUACCGUAUGAAUAAGGACCGGCUAAUUCCGUGCCAGCAGCCGCGGUAAUACGGAGGGUCCGGGCGUUAUCCGGAUUUAUUGGGUUUAAAGGGUGCGUAGGCGGCAUGUCAAGCUUGCUGUGAAAUGUCGGGGCUCAACCCGGGCCUUGCAGCGAGUACUGGCGGGCUUGAGUACGCGGAAGGCAGGCGGAA
This 331-nucleotide ribosomal RNA is filed under the name uncultured bacterium. RNAcentral's name for it is "partial 16S ribosomal RNA". It matches the Rfam family "Bacterial small subunit ribosomal RNA", at positions 338 to 666 of the family's 1533-position model. The record is from RNAcentral.